This 30-nucleotide non-coding RNA is filed under the name Rattus norvegicus (Norway rat). Lineage: Eukaryota; Metazoa; Chordata; Mammalia; Rodentia; Muridae. The record is from RNAcentral.
UAAGCCUCUUGUGUUUUCAUUACAAAAGAC